CUUUACUGUAACUUGGCAGUGAGUUUCGGGCGGUUCUGCGUAGGAUAGGUGGGAGGCGUCGAGUCCGGGGUUCUGGCCUCGGAGGAGCCGACCUUGAAAUACCACCCUGAACUGUCUGGGAUUCUCACCCAGCCCCCUGACCGGGGGUGGGGACCCUGCCUGGCGGGCAGUUUGACUGGGGCGGUCGCCUCCCAAAACGUAACGGAGGCGCACGAAGGUCACCUCAGGCUGAUUGGAAACCAGCCGUAGCGUGCAAAGGCAGAAGGUGGCUUGACUGCGAGUCCGACAGGACGAGCAGGUGCGAAAGCAGGUCUUAGUGAUCCGGUGGUCCCGUAUGGAAGGGCCAUCGCUCAUCGGAUAAAAGGUA
This 367-nucleotide ribosomal RNA is filed under the name uncultured organism. Its description in RNAcentral is "bacterial LSU rRNA". It matches the Rfam family "Bacterial large subunit ribosomal RNA", at positions 2099 to 2465 of the family's 2925-position model. The record is from RNAcentral.